Dermochelys coriacea (leatherback sea turtle) is the source of this 764-nucleotide long non-coding RNA. RefSeq lists it as uncharacterized. The record is from RefSeq and is a predicted model, not a curated record. Lineage: Eukaryota; Metazoa; Chordata; Testudines; Dermochelyidae. The transcript is spliced from 3 exons.
UGGUAGCGCUGCCUUCAGAACUGGGCAGCUGGAGAGCGGUGGCUGCUGGUCGGGAGCCCAGCUCUGAAGGCAGCGUCGCCGCCAGCAGCAGUGCAGAAGUAAGGAUGGCCUGGUAUGGUAUCGCCACCCUUCCCUCUGCACUGCCGCCUGCAGAGCUGGGCCCUCCCUAAACAGCCGACACUCUCCGGCCACCCAGUGCUGAAGGCAGCAGUGCAAGAGUCAGGGUGGCAUGGACUGGUAUUGCCACCCCUAAUUCUGCGCUGCUGCUGGCGGGGCGCCGUCUUCAGAGCUGGGCGCCCGGGCAACAGCCACCGCUCUCUGGCACACAGCUCUGCAGGCAGUGCAGAAGCAAGGGUGGCAAUACCAUGACCCCCCUAAAAUAAGCUUGUGACACCCCGCCCGCACCAUCCCUUUUGGGUCAGAACCCCCAAUUUGAGAAAUGUUGGUCUCCCCCAUGAAACCUCUAUUGUAUAGGGUAAAAGCGCACAGAAGACCAGAUUUCAUGGUGGAAGACCAGAUUUCACAGUCCGUGAUGUGUUUUUCAUGGCCAUGAAUUUGAUAGGGCCCUACAUAUAACACAAUAUUGUAAUUUGUAAUAUGUCCUUGUUAGCCACAAACAAACACAGCAGCUACCCGAGAGCUCCUCAGUUAAUGAGAUGUACACACUCUGGGACAGUGUACAGCUGAGUACUAUGCAUGGAAAUCAUACUGUUAAAUUUAUCUGCAAUUAUUAAAAUGGUAAAAGGCACUCUGACUGGAAAGCA